This 754-nucleotide long non-coding RNA is filed under the name Cyanistes caeruleus (blue tit). RNAcentral's name for it is "lncRNA (ENSCCEG00000008483.1)". Lineage: Eukaryota; Metazoa; Chordata; Aves; Passeriformes; Paridae. The record is from RNAcentral.
GAAAAACUAGUGCACAAAUUUAUUUUAAUAAGCUGGAUAUGCAGCAUAAAUAUUUAUCAUUAUAUUUUUUAUUUAUUUAUUUUUAUCUGUUCUGAUGUCGUCUACUUUCCUACCUGGAAGAGGAGCUGAGUGAGCAAGGGCAGCCUGAAUGCCUCAAACUCCUGGGGAAUUUUCUCUCUUGGAAGCCAGUGGCAGCUUUACAUCUUUGUGUUAAUGUGUGACCAGGAAUAUGCCAAUUUGAUUCACUGCUCUGGAAAUACAGGCAGAAAUGUCAGUAAGAAAUUGGCAGGGUUCUACAGCCGUGGUCUGGCUUUGCCAUUCAAAGUUUAUCAUUCUGCUGAGAAAGCCUUGAGGAUUCCCAAAGCAGUGAUGUGAAAAUCAAGCUUCUUCUUCCGGACCCACAAGACACCCAGAAUUUUCCUUUAUCAGCUGUUUCUUAUUACUUCUACAUCCAAGGUGCUGUUUACCUCAGGCCUCUCGUUCUGCAUCAGUGUCAUCCUCACCUCGGAAUGAGAGGCAAACUCUCCUCACACUAAAAACAGCAGUGCCAAACAGUGAGAGCUGUGGAAACUCAUCUGGGGACAGGCUGGGCCAUCUCUGGAUGGACGAGCAUCUUCUUCCACUGCAGUCCUUGUGGUCAGUAGUGCUCUUCACUGGGGACAGAAAAUGGAAAUUUGGCUGUGUGUAAUAAUAAUAAUUACAAUGAUGUUGAUUAUGAUGGAAAUAAAAAUAAGAAACAGAAGAAGGUAGACCA